UUGAUGCAGCAGAAAGGUGCAAGAAUGGCGAACCUCUAUAUGACCAGGAUUUAGAAUCAAGAUCUGGAACCGACAGCCAUGAGCUCCUGAUGUUUAAGAAUGCAGCCUUGGAAGUCAAUGGUGGAACACAAGCAGAUAUCAGGCUACUAGGCAUGGGUUUACAUGCCCUGGUGUUUGUAAAAGCACAUCUAGCCACAGGAGGCAUUGUGUAUCCAUUUAGAAUCAUUUUCAAGUACCCACACACAGUGACGGUGAUGUGGACAAUGGAGAGAAAUGGACAGCUAUUUAGUGCUCCUUGUUCAUUCUAAACAGCGAUCGCCAUGGCUUCAAAAUGGUAAAAGAUAGUGACGGCGACGAUGGGGAGAAAGCGAGCGGCAAUCGUUAAGGACAAUGAAGAUGGUGGCUUCAAGCGUUGCGGCAGCUUAAGGCUGUCUAGGGUUUGAAAGCAAAAUUGCGAUGUCUCCGUCAGUCUCGUUUGGAUGGGGAUGAGAGAAUAGGAC
This 500-nucleotide unclassified non-coding RNA is filed under the name Hevea brasiliensis (rubber tree). Lineage: Eukaryota; Viridiplantae; Streptophyta; Magnoliopsida; Malpighiales; Euphorbiaceae. The record is from RNAcentral.